AUUGAACGCUGGCGGCAUGCCUCACACAUGCAAGUCGAACGGCAGCGGACCUUCGGGUGCCGGCGAGUGGCGAACGGGUGAGUAAUAUAUCGGAACGUACCUUUCAGUGGGGGAUAACGUAGCGAAAGUUACGCUAAUACCGCAUAUUCUGUGAGCAGGAAAGCAGGGGAUCGCAAGACCUUGCGCUGAUUGAGCGGCCGAUAUCAGAUUAGCUAGUUGGUGAGGUAAAGGCUCACCAAGGCGACGAUCUGUAGCGGGUCUGAGAGGAUGAUCCGCCACACUGGAACUGAGACACGGUCCAGACUCCUACGGGAGGCAGUAGUGGGGAAUUUUGGACAAUGGGGGAAACCCUGAUCCAGCAAUGCCGCGUGAGUGAAGAAGGCCUCGGUUGUAAAG
RNAcentral lists this ribosomal RNA (396 nucleotides) under uncultured bacterium. RNAcentral describes it as "bacterial SSU rRNA". It matches the Rfam family "Bacterial small subunit ribosomal RNA", at positions 30 to 430 of the family's 1533-position model. The record is from RNAcentral.